AAUAUUGCACAAUGGGCGAAAGCCUGAUGCAGCAACGCCGCGUGAGUGAUGAAGGCAUUCGGGUCGUAAAGCUCUUUGAUCAGGGAAGAUAAUGACAGUACCUGAAAAACAACACACGCCUUACUACGUGCGAGCAGCCGCGGUAAUACGUAGGUGGCGAGACUUGGCCGGAAUUACUGGGCGUAAAGGAUGCGUAGGUGGACACUUAAGUGGGAUGUGAAAUCCCCGGGCUCAACCCGGGAACUGCAUUCCAAACUGGGUAUCUAGAGUGCAGGAGAGGAAAGCGGAAUUCCUAGUGUAGCGGUGAAAUGCGUAGAUAUUAGGAGGAACACCAGUGGCGAAGGCGGCUUUCUGGACUGUAACUGACACUGAGGCAUGAAAGCGUGGGUAGCAAACAGG
Molecule: ribosomal RNA, 399 nt
Filed under: uncultured bacterium
Lineage: Bacteria
Description: partial 16S ribosomal RNA
Rfam family: Bacterial small subunit ribosomal RNA
Source: RNAcentral